This 23-nucleotide non-coding RNA is filed under the name Arabidopsis thaliana (thale cress). The record is from RNAcentral. Lineage: Eukaryota; Viridiplantae; Streptophyta; Magnoliopsida; Brassicales; Brassicaceae.
ACUCCUUCAAGUAUUGAUAGUAC